This 1234-nucleotide long non-coding RNA is filed under the name Zea mays. RNAcentral describes it as "long non-coding RNA (ZMAY_LNC004824)". The record is from RNAcentral. Lineage: Eukaryota; Viridiplantae; Streptophyta; Magnoliopsida; Poales; Poaceae.
AUGAAGCCGGCGACGACGGCGACAGGAGGGACGAGGUCAGGUGAGCCCGCCCGCUCCACGCUUCCAUCUAGCCUAGGCGUGUGCUUGAUUGAAUUGUUUGCGGCCAUGGACGAGGUUCCUAGAGAAGGAUCACGAAUUUCUGUCGCAACAACCAUGGAUUUUGGGUCUAGCCACACAAUUCGUUCUGUCACGGUGCACUUUCUUUUUCUUACUCUCUACGUUUUUUAUUUAUUACGAUUUAGUUCAAAAUAAACUAAAGAAUAAUAAAUAUUCGAAAACAUGUAGUAUUAUAAAACACACAAGACUGGUCCGGCGAGCACCCGACAUUCAAGACUCAACAAUCGAAUUUUAAGUUCCAAUGGUCGAGAUGAUGUGGCGCUGAUGUGUUAGGGCAUUAUGGUGCACCAGACUCGUUCGAUGCCACCUCACAUUCUCUUUAGAACGAUCAUUAAAACGGUAGUCUAACAACAAUUCGGUGUUGCACCGGACCAAACAUUAUUUGUGGUCCGGUGGACCCAAAAUGAAUUUAAUUUUUUGGAGAAAAAAGGUCCCAAAGGCUAUUUAGGUGGUCAGGGGCUAUAAAUACACCCUCAACCAGCCCAUUCAAUACAAAAGACUUGUGCAAUAACUGCAAUACACUAUCCUCCCAAGUGACACAAAAAGUGUGAAUUGAGCAUAGAGAUAGCAAUUCGCAUGUGUUUUGUGAUAGAGCCUUGAGUGAGAGUUGAAUAGAAGAGUGUGUAUUAUGCUCUUGAGUCUUGGUGCAAGGCACCUGUAAGGAAAAUAGAUCUUAGCCCAUUUGACUAAUUGAUUUUAGUGUUUGAUGAUCAAUAUAACCUAUAGACUAAUGUGUUUGCUAGUGUUUGUAUUUAUAGUUCACGGGAUGUGUUGGGGGCCUUCGGCUUCCGAAGGUCCUCAAAAACAUGAUUUAACAAUGUUUCUGGAGUAUGAUGCAUGAACAGGUACCUUCGGGCUUAGGUUAUAACCACAAUAUGAAGAAGCACAAAGAAUACGAAGGAUGGCGCAGAGCCGAAGCUAUGCGUAGAGGAGCUUCAGCGUGAUAACAGAAAAGGAAACCGACUUAAAGGGGAAAAGGCUAUUUAGACCCCGAUGGAUUACUAUAGAGUUAUUAGCAAAUGUAAAGGGCAUGGAUGUAAUUUUACAUGGGCUGCGUCCCGUGCCUAUAAAUAGAUGAACAGUGCUCCCAUACUGUUCACGCUGACUUGGCAUUCGC